RNAcentral lists this ribosomal RNA (377 nucleotides) under uncultured organism. Its description in RNAcentral is "partial 16S ribosomal RNA". It matches the Rfam family "Bacterial small subunit ribosomal RNA", at positions 527 to 897 of the family's 1533-position model. The record is from RNAcentral.
GUAGGUGGCAAGCGUUGUCCGGGAAUUAUUGGGGGCGUAAAGCGCGCGCAGGCGGUUCUUUAAGCCUGAUGUGAAAGCCCACGGGCUCAACCGUGGAGGGUCAUUGGAAACUGGAGAACUUGAGUACAGAAGAGGAAAGCGGAAUUCCACGUGUAGCGGUGAAAUGCGUAGAGAUGUGGAGGAACACCAGUGGCGAAGGCGGCUUUCUGGUCUGUAACUGACGCUGAGGCGCGAAAGCGUGGGGAGCAAACAGGAUUAGAUACCCUGGUAGUCCACGCCGUAAACGAUGAGUGCUAAGUGUUAGGGGGUUUCCGCCCCUUAGUGCUGCAGCUAACGCAUUAAGCACUCCGCCUGGGGAGUACGGCCGCAAAGGCUGA